GCGCCGAUAGUCUAGUGGUUAGGAUGCGGGCUUCCCAAGCCUGCGACCCGGGUUCAAAUCCCGGUCGGCGCA
RNAcentral lists this transfer RNA (72 nucleotides) under Candidatus Aenigmatarchaeota archaeon. RNAcentral describes it as "tRNA-Gly". It matches the Rfam family "tRNA". From Rfam's summary of the family: Transfer RNA (tRNA) molecules are approximately 80 nucleotides in length. Their secondary structure includes four short double-helical elements and three loops (D, anti-codon, and T loops). The record is from RNAcentral. Lineage: Archaea; Nanobdellati; Candidatus Aenigmatarchaeota.